GUGAGGAAUAUUGCGCAAUGGAGGCAACUCUGACGCAGCCAUGCCGCGUGCAGGAAGAAGGCGCUACGCGUUGUAAACUGCUUUUAACCGGGAAGAAACCCCAGGACGUGUCCUGGGUUGACGGUACCGGAGGAAUAAGCACCGGCUAACUUCGUGCGAGCAGCCGCGGUAAUACGAAGGGUGCAAGCGUUAUCCGGAUUCAUUGGGUUUAAAGGGUGCGUAGGCGGAGCGUUAAGUCAGUGGUGAAAUCCUGCAGCUUAACUGUAGACUUGCCAUUGAUACUGGCGCUCUUGAGUGCGCUUGAAGUGGGCGGAAUGUGCCGUGUAGCGGUGAAAUGCUUAGAUAUGGCACAGAACACCAAUUGCGAAGGCAGCUCACUAAGGCGAUACUGACGCUGAGGCACGAAAGCGUGGGGAUCGAACAGGAUUAGAAACCCCUGUAGUCC
RNAcentral lists this ribosomal RNA (445 nucleotides) under uncultured bacterium. Its description in RNAcentral is "partial 16S ribosomal RNA". It matches the Rfam family "Bacterial small subunit ribosomal RNA", at positions 354 to 796 of the family's 1533-position model. The record is from RNAcentral.